GGCAGAGGUCUUCCAGAAGUCAAGUCUAAUCUAUCUAUGGAUGUGGCAGACUUAGCUAUGGAUGUUCAAGGCAGACAUUGCCAGCAGAACCACAUCUCUUCACCCAUAGGACCACACCCUUCUCAGACUGGGAUGCACAGCUCCACUAGUUUGCAGAGAGGAUGCACAACAGCAGAAUAUCCGUGGUCCAACUUCUGAAGCAUCAGUAUUACCACAAGAUUUGGAAGAAGCAAAGUUAUGUCAUUUCCAAGGUUCAUCUUGGCUGAAAUCAUCCCACGUGUAUUGUUUUCUGUCUAGCUUGCCUCCCUCGGCACCAGGUGGAAGAGACUCA
Molecule: long non-coding RNA, 331 nt
Organism: Diceros bicornis minor
Lineage: Eukaryota; Metazoa; Chordata; Mammalia; Perissodactyla; Rhinocerotidae
Exons: 3
Source: RefSeq, a predicted model, not a curated record